RNAcentral lists this ribosomal RNA (493 nucleotides) under uncultured bacterium. RNAcentral describes it as "bacterial SSU rRNA". It matches the Rfam family "Bacterial small subunit ribosomal RNA", at positions 28 to 507 of the family's 1533-position model. The record is from RNAcentral.
GACGAACGCUGGCGGCGUGCCUAACACAUGCAAGUCGAACGGUCCGGCACUCAACCGACCCUCAGUCUAGCUGUAGGUGAGGUUAAGUGCCGGAUAGUGGCGGACGGGUGAGUAACGCGUGGGCAACCAACCCUGUACAGUGGGAUAACACCGGGAAACCGGUGCUAAUACCGCAUGACACCUAGAUGGUGCAUACUGUUUAGGUUAAAGGGCAAAACCGGUACGGGACGGGCCCGCGUCCCAUUAGCUGGUUGGUGAGGUAACGGCUCACCAAGGCGACGAUGGGUAGCCGACCUGAGAGGGUGACCGGCCACACUGGGACUGAGACACGGCCCAGACUCCUACGGGAGGCAGCAGUGGGGAAUAUUGCGCAAUGGACGGAAGUCUGACGCAGCGACGCCGCGUGAGCGACGAAGGCCUUCGGGUCGUAAAGCUCUGUUCUUGGGACGAAGGAAAUGACGGUACCCAAGGAGAAAGCCCGGCUAACUACGUG